This is a long non-coding RNA of Acinonyx jubatus (cheetah), 496 nucleotides long. RefSeq lists it as uncharacterized. The transcript has 3 exons. The record is from RefSeq and is a predicted model, not a curated record. NCBI's taxonomy places the organism in Eukaryota, Metazoa, Chordata, Mammalia, Carnivora, Felidae.
UAUAGGUCAAUAUGCCUCCGUGAGGGUUUCUAUGACCACAGUGAUCAUCUCUCAUAUAUUAUUUUUGUUCAGUAUGACUUCAAAAUUGUGUUUUGUUGUCCUCCUAGGUUUGAUUUUACUGUCAGACCGGAUGUCCUGAUUUUUGACUUGGAGAAUUUCUUGACGAUAUUGGCCACCAUGAGAUGAGCUCUGAGUGUGAGAGGCGCCUGGUUUUCACAGAGUUUCACAGAGUUCCCACACCUGGAGCAGAAGCACUGCUGCACCAACGAUGACUGAAGCAAGAACGAUCCGGCUCCGGAAAGGAAAUUCUCAAGGUGAAGAAACUGAGGUCCACAGGAAUGAAAUAACUUGCCUAAGGAGCACAAUGGGUCCCAUAAACGCGCUUUGAAUGGUUACUCCAAGACUGGUAGCAGAACAUUAUGCCUUUGGGACGCGGAAAGAGCCACACAUGAUUGUGUUCGAUCAGACCAGGCUGGUUACGAGAAGAAAGGAAUCU